This 416-nucleotide unclassified non-coding RNA is filed under the name soil metagenome. RNAcentral's name for it is "partial contains 5.8S ribosomal RNA, internal transcribed spacer 2, and large subunit ribosomal RNA". The stretch from base 1 to 120 matches the Rfam family "5.8S ribosomal RNA", at positions 35 to 154 of the family's 154-position model. The record is from RNAcentral.
GAUGAAGAACGCAGCGAAAUGCGAUAAGUAAUGUGAAUUGCAGAAUUCAGUGAAUCAUCGAAUCUUUGAACGCACCUUGCACUCCUUGGUAUUCCGAGGAGUACGCCUGUUCGAGUGUUAUGAAGCUCUCAAAACGCAAUUGGCUUAAAACCUGAUUGUUGUUUUGGAUUUGAACUUUGCCGUGUUAUAACGGCUGGUUUUAAAAGUAUUAGCUGGUACUAGAACGAAUUGGUUCUACUCAACGUGAUAAUUAUCUGAUCGUUGAGGACAUUCCUUUCACGAGGAAUGGCCAUAGUAAAUUCAAUGGACUGCUUCUAAUCUGGCUUUAAUUCUUUAUUGGAUUAACCACUUUUCAAAUCUGACCUCGAAUCAGGUGGGACUACCCGCUGAACUUAAGCAUAUCAAUAUGCGGAGGA